Molecule: ribosomal RNA, 253 nt
Filed under: uncultured bacterium
Lineage: Bacteria
Description: partial 16S ribosomal RNA
Rfam family: Bacterial small subunit ribosomal RNA
Source: RNAcentral
UACGGGGGGGGCAAGCGUUGUUCGGAAUUACUGGGCGUAAAGGGCUCGUAGGCGGCCAACUAAGUCAGACGUGAAAUCCCUCGGCUUAACCGGGGAACUGCGUCUGAUACUGGUUGGCUUGAAUCCGGGAGGGGGAUGUGGAAUUCCAGGUGUAGCGGUGAAAUGCGUAGAUAUCUGGAGGAACACCGGUGGCGAAGGCGGCAUCCUGGACCGGUAUUGACGCUGAGGAGCGAAAGCCAGGGGAGCAAACGGG